RNAcentral lists this ribosomal RNA (390 nucleotides) under uncultured bacterium. RNAcentral describes it as "bacterial SSU rRNA". It matches the Rfam family "Bacterial small subunit ribosomal RNA", at positions 30 to 421 of the family's 1533-position model. The record is from RNAcentral.
AUUGAACGCUGGCGGCAUGCCUUACACAUGCAAGUCGAACGGCAGCGGACCUUCGGGUGCCGGCGAGUGGCGAACGGGUGAGUAAUAUAUCGGAACGUACCUUUCAGUGGGGGAUAACGUAGCGAAAGUUACGCUAAUACCGCAUAUUCUGUGAGCAGGAAAGCAGGGGAUCGCAAGACCUUGCGCUGAUUGAGCGGCCGAUAUCAGAUUAGCUAGUUGGUGAGGUAAAGGCUCACCAAGGCGACGAUCUGUAGCGGGUCUGAGAGGAUGAUCCGCCACACUGGAACUGAGACACGGUCCAGACUCCUACGGGAGGCAGCAGUGGGGAAUUUUGGACAAUGGGCGGCAAGCCUGAUCCAGCCAUGCCGCGUGAGUGAAGAAAGGCCUCGG